CAAUAGCGUAUAUUAAAGUUGUUGCGGUUAAAAAGCUCGUAGUUGGAUUUCAGCCGAGGACGACCGGUCCUGCUUCGUGCAGGAACCUGGUUUGGCCGAGGCAUCUCUUGGUGUGAGUGUAAGCGUGUGAAAGCGCUGCACAAGCUCCAGGACUUUUACUUUGAGGAAAUUAGAAUGUUUCAAGCAGGCGUCUGCCUUGAAUACAUUAGCAUGGAAUAAUAGGAUAGGACUUCAGUCCUAUUUUGUUGGUUCUUGGGACUGUAGUAAUGAUUAAUAGGGACAGUCGGGGGCAUUCGUACUUAACAGUCAGAGGUGGAAUUCUUGGAUUUGUUAAAGACGAACUACUGCGAAAGCAUUUGCCAAGGAUGUUUUCAUUGA
RNAcentral lists this ribosomal RNA (378 nucleotides) under uncultured eukaryote. RNAcentral describes it as "partial 18S ribosomal RNA". It matches the Rfam family "Eukaryotic small subunit ribosomal RNA", at positions 592 to 976 of the family's 1831-position model. The record is from RNAcentral.